Long non-coding RNA from Orcinus orca (killer whale), 2699 nucleotides. RefSeq lists it as uncharacterized. The record is from RefSeq and is a predicted model, not a curated record. Lineage: Eukaryota; Metazoa; Chordata; Mammalia; Artiodactyla; Delphinidae. The transcript has 3 exons.
GUGAUGCUGCUGGACCCGUGGGGCAGGGGGUGGUCUCAGCCCACGCUUCCUUUAAGAGUGUGAGCUGAAGGCAGCUCCGUCAUUUAAAGGUAUAGAUAUGCACUGUCCAUAAAACAUGCCCAGUAAGUGGAGGACAGUGCUGCUCAACUAAAGGGACAGCGGCUCUACCGGAGAUAAAACUGGCUGUUCAGUGCUUAAUGAGAGUUUCUCUCCAGAGCCAUGCCUUCUGAAUGGGUUUUCACAGGCUGACUUUAAAAUCCCACCCUGGUUAGGAUCGGAUUCUACUAUACAACAGAUAAAGCAGAGUGGCUCUGAUGAAGUGACCUGGGAGAAACUCCAAGAGCCUCCCCCUCCCUGAUGCAGCUUCCCCUGACUCUCUUCACCUCUCUAGAGACCAAGUCCUGGGCCAUCUGUUGAAUGCAGCCAGAAGAAUCCUGGAAGCCACAUGUUGAAGAAGACAGAGACACCUUGGGUCUGAUUCCUGGAAUCUCUGCAUGAAUUGCACCCAGGGAUGCAAGGUUUCUUCAAUGUAUGCAAAUCAAUCAAUGUGAUACACCAUAUUAACAAAUUGAAGAAUAAAAACCACAUGAUGAUCUCAAUAGAUGCAGAAAAGGCUUUUGACAAAAUUCAACACCAAUUUAUGAUUAAAAACUCUCCAGAAAGUGGGCAUAGAGGGAACCUACCUCAACAAAAUAAAGGCUAUAUAUGACAAACCCACAGCAAACAUCAUUCUCAAUGGUGAAAAACUGAAAGCAUUUCCUCUAAGAUCAGGAACAAGACAAGGGUGUCCACCUUUGCCACUAUUAUUCAACACAGUCUUGGAAGUCCUAGCCAUGGCAAUCAGAGAAGAAAAAGAAAUAAAAGGAAUCCACAUUGGAAAAGAAGAAGUAAAACUGUCACUGUUUGCAGAUGACAUGAUACUAUACAUAGGAAAUCCUAAAGAUGCCACCAGAAAACUACUAGAACUAAUCAAUAGAUUUAGUAAAGUUGCAGGAUACAAAACUAACACACAGAAAUCUUUUGCAUUCCUAUACACAAAUAAUGAAAGAUCAGAAAGCGAAAUUAAGAAAACAAUCACAUUUACCAUUGCAACAAAAAGAAUAAAAUACCUAGAAAUAAACCUACCUAAGGUGGCAAAAGACCCGUACACAGAAAACUAUAAAACACUGAUGAAAGAAAUCAAAGAUGACACAAACAGAUGGAGAGAUAUACCACGUUCUUGGAUUCGAAGAAUCAAUAUUAUGAAAAUGACUAUACUACCCAAAGCAAUCUACAGGUUCAGUGCAAUCCCUAUCAAAUUACCAAUGGCAUUUAUCACAGAACUAGAACAGAAAAUUUUACAAUUUGUAUAGAAACACAAAAGACCCCGAAUAGCCAAAGCCAUCUUGAAAAAUAAAAGCAGAGCUGGAAGAAUCAGGCUCCCUGACUUCAGACUAUACUACAAAGCUACAGUAAUCAUGACAGUAUGGUACUGGCACAAAAACAGAAAUAUAGACCAAUGGAACAGGAUAGAAAGCCCAGAGAUAAACCCACACACCUAUGGUCACCUAAUCUAUGACAAAGGAGGCAAGAAUAUACAAUGGAGAAAAGACAGCCUCUUCAAUAAGUGGUGCUGGGAAAACUGGACAGCAACAAUGUAAAAGAAUGAAAUUAGAAUUCCCUAACACCAUACACAAAAAUAAACUCAAAGUGGAUUAAAGACCUGAAUGUAAGGCCAGAUACUAUAAAAUUCUUAGAGGAAAACAUAGGCAGAACACUCUCUUGACAUAAAUCGCAGCAAGAUCUUCUUUGACCCACCUCCCAGAGAAAUGAAAAUAAAAACAAAAGUAAAAAAAUGGGACCUAAUGAAACUUCAAAGCUUUUGCACAGCAAAGGAAACCAUAAAUAAGAUGAAAAGACAACCCUCAGAAUGGGAGGAAAUAUUUGCAAAUGAAGCAACUGGCCAAGGAUUAAUAUCCAAAAUUUACAAGCAGCUCAUGCAGCUCAAUAUCAAAAAACAAACAACCCAAUCCAAAAAUGGGCAGAAGACCUAAAUAGACAUUUCUCCAAAGAAGACAUACAGAUGGCCAACAAACACAUGAAAAGAUGCUCAACAUCACUAAUCAUUAGAGAAAUGCAAAUCAAAACUACAAUGAGGUAUCACCUCACACCGGUCAGAAUGACCAUCACCAAAAAUAUCUACAAACAAAUGCUGGAGAGGAUGUGGAGCAAAGGCAACCCUCUUGCACUGUUGGUGGGAAAGAAAACUGAUAUAGCCACUAUUGAGAACAGUAUGGAGGUUCCUUAAAAAACUAAAAAUAGAACAACCAUAUCACCCAGCAUUCCCACUACUGGGCAUAUACCCAGAGAAAACCAUAAUUCAAAAAGACACAUGCACCUCAAUGUUCACUGCAGCACUAUUUACAAUAGCCAGGACAUGGAAGCAACCUAAAUGUCCAUCAACAGAGGAAUGGAUAAAGAAAAUGUGGUACAUAUAUACAAUGGAACACUACUCAGCCAUAAAAAGGAACGAAAUUGGGUCAUUUGUAGAGAUGUGGAUGGACUUAGAGACAGAGUGAAGUAGGUCAGAAAGAGAAAAGUAGAUAUCAUAUAUUAACACAUAUAUGUGGAAUCUAGAAAAAUGGUAUAGAUGAUCUUAUUUGCAAAGUAGAAAUAGAGACACAGCCAUAGAGAACAAAUGUAUGGAUACGAAGGGGGAA